AGGUGCAUCUCAUACAUGCGCCAAGAAGACAACAUAUAUAAUAACAGAGUGUAUAGAGAUAAAUGCCAUAAAACAUCAGAGUAUUUAUUACAUAGCGGAAGACUUAUUACAAAAUAAAAUAAUGAAUAUAAAACGAACUAAGGAUCGUCGGCGCCAAUGUCAACUAAGAAACGCCACCUAGAUCAGAUCAAACUCCUCGCCUUGUGGCUCCUCCUGAACCACCUGUUCUUCUCCUGUGGGGGGGGGUGUGAGACAGCAAGGGUGAGCUCACACAUGAUCAUAGCUCAACAAGUUGUGGGGAACCAGUGGACAUAAACUCACAAAGGUGUGAGUUCAUGUGAUGUGUAAGGCUAAGCAAUGAUAGGGGUUAAAGCUGAGCAUUGCUUUUAAGUAGUUGGUCAAAAUUUUAUUAGCAGUUACUAAGUGUAAGUAAAUACCAAACCAUAAGUAAAGUAAUAGAACACAAUUUAUAAUAAACCCAUGCAAUGCAAAUGACAAAAUUGAAUUUAAGUUCCAUAAUUUAAACAUCAGAGAGUCCUGAGCUGCUCAUGACCGUGAGCUCGGCUAGUAUACCAGUUUUACACUCUGCAGAGGUUGUACCCUUUUACCCACAAGUCAUGUUACCCAUCUGCCAAGGGGUCGCGAAUCCCAUACACCUCUACCUAGGAAGCGCGGCAGGGCAACACUACGAGGCCUUUACAAAGUUCCACUAGCUUCCGAAAACCCGCUACAGUUUAUAGGAAGUUCCAAUGCAGGGUUCUUGCCUGACCGCCAUCGCAGCAAAAUCAAGCAAGGACCUCCCUACACUGACCACUCCCCUACUGCCCUUGCCCCUUUCGGGUAAGGUAGUCUUCCACUAGCUUUCCUAAUUAAUCAGCCAAGGGCGUCCCAUUAAACCCUUGUGGUGGCACGUGUUACUCAAGUUAAGCUCUAUGUUCCAAUUAACAUUAAUGAUCUCAACAUGAACAUAAAUAGAAUAACAAAAAGAAUUGGAACAUAGAGGUAAUAAAUGAUUAUCCCAAAACCAUGUAAAGCAAUAGCAAACUACCCAAGUGAUUCAGGGGUAAACAAGGUAAUGCGAUAAACAAUCUAGGGUGACCUAUUGGGUCCCAUCAAAAUUAACCUAUGCAUGGAUAAGUGAUAUUAAAGAACAUUAUUGGGUAAAAAGUGGUCAAGGGCACAACUUGCCUUCAAUGAGCUCCUGCUCAGCUACUUCAACCUGCUGCUCACCAGGAUCCUCAGCAACGGGCUCUUCUACUCGCCACAAUACAAACAAGCACAGUGUAUAUAGAGAAAUUAACAUUACACCAAACAUAUAAAUAAAAUUCACAGUAAUAAUCUACAUAUUAAAAUAAAAUCCUAGGAAUAGGAAUCAUAAUUUUUGGAGUUAUAGAAUUUAAGUUAUGGAUUUUCAAAGGUUUUAUGUGCUUUAAGUAAGAUUAAGUGUGAGGUUAAUUUUCUUACUGUUGUCAUGAUAAAACAGAGGCUCUAGAUGAUAGAGAAUAAAAUUACAAAAUUUUAGGAACUGGAAUGGAUUAAUUUGGAGUUAGUAUGAAUUUUCUAUGAAUUUAUAAAGUUUUAGUAAUUAUUUUCCUAUUAAAAAUCCAUUUAUAAAUUAUUUUCUCUGGUUUUACACUGCUCUGGACUGGGCCUCCAUUUCUGUGAACUACAGGGGCUUCGGAGUAAAACUCCGCAAACACAGAGCACAGCUCUCGUUGAUGGCGGGUUGAUUCUCUGGAAGCCCGAGGGCUCUUAAGCAAAACGCCAAGGCCGAAGGGGUAUGGACAGAUCCUAGCCGUUGGAUUAGAUGCGAACGAGCCAGAUUAGAUCAGCGCGGCUGCGAAUCGGUAUGCCACCAUGGCCCCUGGAUCCCGAUCCGACGAUCGCAGUUUAAUGAAAUCUAGAUCAGAUCUCCAUCGCUCGAUUCCCCCGCAACGACCCAGAUUCGCUCACGUGAAAGGGUAUCCCACUGUCUAAUCUCAGCCGUUCAGAGAUCAAUCAACGGUCGAAGUGUUUCUCCCCCAACCGAAACAGACGACGGCGGCGCCGCCAUGACUUCACGGCGGAGAGUCCACCGGAGAAUCCCGCCAGCGGUGUGGAUGCACAGAUUCCCAUGCCCUCUAGCGUACGGGUUACCCCAUGCCAUAGCCAAUGCGGUGGGGACCCUCACACCACCAGCAACCCGUCGGCUGCACCCACCCACGGCACGCGGCGGAUUUCUAGCCCCCGGUGAACAAUUAACGGAGCACAGGAGUUCGAUUCGGAGCUAAGACGAGCGCAAAAGAAAGAGUACACCUAGAGAGGUUAAUGGAGGGACUCACCAGCCGACUUGAGGUAUCGGGGAUGGCCGACCACGAGGUAGCGACGGUGAGGACCCCGCGACGGUGGAAUUCUUCCUCCAGGCAGCUCCCGGUGAGGGAUUUGGGGACGACGCGGGCGAGCACAGGUGCGAGGGGGUCACGGGGAUUCCUAUUUAACCCCCAAAGUCCAAGCCGGGGAGGAGAGGGAGGUCUUCACCCUGUUCCGCGGCGCUCGACGGCAAUCCCGCGCGGUUCGGUUGCGCCGGGGAAGACAGAGCUGCGUUCGGUUGAGGUGGAGACUGACAAGGCGGCCCCACGCGGCAGUGAGUGUGCGCGCGCAAACGGUAGGAUUGAACAGAGACUGACCCGCCGGCCCCACGUAGCAGCGACACACGGAGCGCGUGAUGCGGUGUGUGUAUGGCCAGCGGGCCCCGGGUGCAGAGAGCGCGAGCGCGCGGUGGAGGAGCCGCCUGGGCCGCGCGGGCGUGAUUCGGGGUUGGGCCGAAUUGGCGCCUGGUGGCCCAAUUAGGGUUAUACUCUUUUUCCUUUUUAUAUUUCCUAUUUUCUUUUCUUUUUUUUCUCUUAUUUUUGAAUCUAAGUUUGAAUUUCGAAUUUGAUGAACUUGUACUCAAAUUUUCUGAGUAUAUGAUUUGGAUAAAUCAUUUUGGAAUAAGUUUAUCUAUUUAUAAGUUUUAUUUUUGUAUUGCAUAGUAUUUUUCUUUCUUUCUUUCCAAAUUUUAAAAUUUCUUUUAGGAUUUAAUUCCCCAUUUGGAUAUUUAACAUUUUUCACAUUAUUAUAUGUUAAUACAAAAUGCACACAGAAUAAAAUCGAGCAUGAUGCAUAAUUUGGUAGUAUAUGUUUUUAUUAAUUGUUUUUGGGCAUGAUGCUCACAUAAGAUAAUGCAUAGAGAUCAAACUCACAUAAAGAGAUAUUGUUCCUCUACUGGUAUUAUUCCUAGCAAUUACAAAGUGGGUGUUACAAAUCCUACCCCCCUUAAAAAUAAUCUCGUCCUCGAGAUUUAAGAAGAUCUAGGGAAAAGAUGGGGAAAAUCUACGCGAAGCUCUUCUUCUCUUUCCGAAGUUGCUUCAUCUUCACCGUGGUGACUCCAUUGCACCUUGCACAUCUUUAUCACCUUAUUUCUUGUCACUCGAGUCAAUAUAUCCAAAAUCUUGAUCGGGUACUCCGUGUAAGUCAAAUCACCUUGAACACUGAGCUCCUCCAUUGGUAACUGUUCCUCAGGGACACGGAGACACUUCUUUAGUUGAGAUACGUGGAACACGUUAUGCACAUCCGAUAAACUAUCCGGUAACUCGAGUUGGUAUGCCAUCUCCCCAACUCUUCUAAAGAUCAAGAAUGGUCCAAUGUAGCGAGGGGACAAUUUGCCCUUGACUUUAAAUCUCCUCAUUCCACGAAGUGGUGACACCUUGAGGUACACAUAAUCUCCUUCUUCAAAUUCCAGUGGUCUUCUUCUAUUAUCAGCAUAACUCUUUUGCCUGGUUUGAGCCACUCUCAAAUUCUCUCGAAUUAUACGGACUUGUUCUUCUGCUUCUUGAAUCAAUUCAGGCCCAAAGAACUGUCUUUCUCCAGUCUGAUCCCAAUACAAAGGAGUCCUGCACUUCCUCCCAUAUAAAGCUUCAAAAGGUGACAUCUUCAGACUGGCCUGGUAACUAUUAUUAUAUGAGAACUCAGCAUACGGUAGACUUUUAUCCCAACUUCCUCCAUGUUGAAGGGCACAAGCUCUCAACAUAUCCUCCAAAACUUGAUUUGUCCUUUCAGUCUGUCCAUCAGUCUGAGGGUGAUAAGCUGUACUGAAAUUCAACUUCGUACUCAUGUUCUCAUGAAAUCUUCUCCAAAAUCUUGAGGUAAACUGCGAACCUCGAUCAGACACGAUCUUCUUUGGUACUCCAUGCAAACACACAAUCCGAGCCAUAUAUAACUCUGCUAGCUGAGAACCUUUAUAAGUAGUCUUCACAGGAGUAAAGUGAGCCACUUUAGUCAAUCUAUCCACAAUCACCCAUAUAGCAUCAUAUCCUUUCUGGGUGCGAGGCAAUCCAGUAAUGAAAUCCAUACCAAUCUCUUCCCAUUUCCACUCGGGUAUCUUCAGUGGAUGCAAUAGUCCAGCUGGCCUCUGGUGUUCAGCCUGAACUCUUUGACAUAUAUUGCACAUAGCCACAUGUGCAGCCACAUCUCUCUUCAAUCCAUACCACCAAUACUUCCGCUUCAAAUCCUGAUACAUCUUAGUACUACCAGGAUGAAUAGAAUAAUCCGAAUCAUGAGCCUCCUUUAAAAUAGUCUCUCGAAGGCUUUUAAUAUCAGGAACACACAUCCUGUUCUUGAACCAUACAGUGCCUUGCUCAUCUUUCGUAAAUUCCGGAACUCGACCUUCAGUAAUCAGAUCCUUAAUCUCUUUUAUUUUAGCAUCCUCAAGUUGACCUUUGCGGACUUCUUGCUCCAAGGUAGGUUCCACAUCAAUAGUGACGCCUUCAGUAUGAGCAACUAUCCCUAGGUUAAGUCUCCUGAAAUCCUCAACAAUCUCAUCGGGUAGCUGGGCAACAAUAGCUAAAUGAACAUGCUCCUUGCGACUCAAGGCAUCUGCAACCAAAUUUGCCUUGCCCGGGUGAUAGUGAAUCUCCAAAUCAUAAUCCUUAAUAAGCUCCAACCAACGACGUUGCCUAAGGUUGAGAUCCUUCUGAGUGAAUAUAUACUUCAAACUCUUAUGAUCCGUAUAUACUUGGCACUUGGUCCCCAUGAUAUAAUGUCUCCAAAUCUUGAGCGCAUGCACAACGGCUGCUAAUUCCAAGUCAUGAGUGGGGUAGUUCAAUUCAUGUUUCCGCAACUAACGAGAAGCAUAUGCAAUCACAUGACCUUCCUGCAUGAGCACACAUCUGAAAGGGAAAUGUGCCCUUGGGCCAUUUCUAAGUAUUUUGGUGAUUUAGUGUCCAACACAAGUGCCUAAGUGUAAAGAGGUGGACAAAGUACAAAUCAAGGAUAAAGGUAUGUUUCUCAGACUUAGUACAUUGUUUUAUGGACUAAUUUAUUGUGUCUAAGUGCUGGAAACAGGAAAAAUCCAAUUUCGGAUGAUAUACACUAAUCAGGAAUCAAUGAGACCAAGACUGGAGAAGAAAAGAUCGACAUCGAUAAGGAAGGAUAUAACAGUCAAAGCGAAUCUCGAGAUGAAUCAAGAUUCAAAUAUUUCGGAUGAAGUCUUCUCCUUGCCAUAAUCUUUCUUACCACAACCUGUCCAGCUUAUAUCCACAUAAUAAGUAGCCGGAUACCUAUGCUCUCCUAAUCAACCCCUAUUGACUAUAAAAAAAUGAAACUCUAGAUUUUUGAACCAAUUAUAGAUUAAAAGCUAAAUUACAAACAGAUCCUUAUGUAUCCCUUUUUCUUACAAAUCUCGAGGACGAGAUUUCUGUUAAGGGGGGUAGAAUUUGUAGCACCCAAUAUUCUGAUUUUGGGAUUAGUAAAAUCUUUCUAAACCAAAGUAAAGUGACCCUGAUGAAUAUUUACACUUAGGAGUUCACCCCUUCUAAAAAUAAAUAGUAAUAUUAAAAUAAUGUCAGUCUGUGAGUUUCAAGAAAUAAAUAAGAACAUCCUUGUAUGAGUUAAGAUAUUCAUAAAUGUUCUAAAAACGUUUAGUUUAAAGUCUCUUAAUAGAGAUUAUUCCUUAAAAAGUAUCUUCUAUUAAAAUAAAUAAGUAAUGAAUAUUGGUGCACUUUUAAUUGGACCACACGCAAUGUGGUAUUGCGUUUGUAUAUAUUGUUUGUGUAUAUGAACUAUAUAUUUAAAAGUAUUUGGAUAAGUGAAUAAGAUAAAUGAAUAAAUAGUACAAAAUUCUAAUUUACAUGCUCGAUCAUUAUUGAAUGAUGCAUCUUUUUUUCUUGGAAUUUGAAUUGAAACAAAAAAAACAAAUUAGAAAAGGAAAAGAAAAAAAGAAGAAGGCCAUACCUGUUGCCGACCAGGCCAAAAAAACGCUCUCCGUUUUUUUUCCUGCUGGCCGCAGCAUGCAACUGUGUGGGACCCACGCAAUUGAGCCCCCUUCUCCCUCCGUAUUGCUCGCAUCCAUCGUAACAACCUCACGAAGUGCUUAAUCCAAUCCUCCACCCACGUCGUGGAUAAAAGCAAGGCCAUGACCCCCCUGCGCAUAUCUGCCUACCCAUGCGGUCCUCCCCCAAACGUCUUCAUCAUGGACGAAGCCAAGAAGCUGCCAGCGUUGAUCCACACAUAUCGUUCGGUCCUCCUCUGGCGCUAAGAGAUUUGCUGCCGAUGCCGCGAUUCACGCGCUGAACCAGCGUUCCGUUGCCGUUUUCCUGGACCGAUGGCUAGUAUUUAGGGCUCGUUUGGUAGAGCUCCACUCUAUGAUUCUCUAGCUCCGAGAGCUGAUUCUCUAAUGGAGUGAUUCUGGGCGAUUCUCUGGUAGGAGUGAAUUUGUUGAUGAAUUGCGUUUGGCUGCUAGUUGUACCCAAGCUUGUUUAAGUGAGAACCUGAUCUGUUCUUUGCUCUUACUUCCUCAGCAAAUAUUUCACAAGCUAUCUUAACAUUUUCAUCGCACCAGUCUGCAUUAUCCUCCUUCAUGGUGCUGUUAUUGCCACAACCAUGAAUAAUAAAAAAAAGAUAAAUCAAAGUGCUAGCUCUUCUAACAUGGAAAACAACAGGUAUAAAGCAGCAAGCAUAGAUUGAUGAUGAGCUUCUCGACUUGUGAUUUUAUUUAUUUUUUCGUGCAGAACAUUUCUAGAAAUGGUGCUGCUGGACUGGACGUGUGAACUUUGGAUUUUCACAGCUUCUAUACUCGUGUGCAAAGAUUUUCUUAAAAAUGAUUUUCAAAUCAAGAAACCAAUAGACACCGCAGGAGCUAGAGCAGAAGGAAAAAACACUCGCGUCCUCACCUCAAUCGGCUACAGAUUAGAGGGAGAGAGGAAUGCAACUUCACCUUGCACACUGAAAGACGCGAGACGAAGAGAUGGCGUAGUAGUGGACGGAAGGGGCUUGGGAGUGUUCUGGACGGAAGGGGCGGCAGCCUGGAUCUCCAGCGUCCUAGGCUAGUAGCGGCUGGUAGCUUGGCGCCGCCGCGCCGCCUCCAACCCUAAUGGCCACGGUCUGGACAAAAGCCAGGCUGGGCUUGUGGCUGG
This 7430-nucleotide long non-coding RNA is filed under the name Zea mays. RNAcentral's name for it is "long non-coding RNA (ZMAY_LNC004677)". Lineage: Eukaryota; Viridiplantae; Streptophyta; Magnoliopsida; Poales; Poaceae. The record is from RNAcentral.